UAGAACAAAACUGGAUUUGAUUUGAUAAUGGUGUCAUUUCUCAGAGGCAAGAAACCUCAACAAACAAAACGAUUCUCUUUCUUCCAGUUUGAUAAGGAGAUUGAAAAUCUAAAAUAGAACAUUGAGAGUUACUUGCUAGCUUCAAUGAACAUACAAAAUGAUUCUCCACCAUUUGAAUGCUGUGGAGAAGAUUGAGAAUAUUGUAAGUAAUAUCAGCAAGAUUCAGACGAAGGUAAUGCAAAUUUUAACCAUAUACAAGACAAAUUAAUGACUGAACCUACUAAUCUAACAAUGUGUGAUGAAGGGAUCAAAUGAUUUGUGAAAAUAGUGUUUGUGAUCACUUUCUUUAGGUACUAUAAGCUAAAUUACCGUGCCAGUAUUUUUCACUUUAGCCUGUAAAUACCUGAAACUCUAAGUAACUGCUUGAUGGAGAACGAAAGUUGUCCAUGUCUGCACAGUACUUGAAAAAUAUCUCAAUUUUCCAUAAACUUACA
RNAcentral lists this long non-coding RNA (494 nucleotides) under Cucumis sativus (cucumber). RNAcentral's name for it is "long non-coding RNA (CSAT_LNC000156)". The record is from RNAcentral. Lineage: Eukaryota; Viridiplantae; Streptophyta; Magnoliopsida; Cucurbitales; Cucurbitaceae.